GAUUAACAUCCCUUACACUAAAACCAAAAACGUGCUCACAAUAUAAAAGAUUAAACUACCUAAAGGAGAAACUUGAAAGUAAAAGCUACAAAUAUGACUAUAGAGUCUUUAGGCGUCCCCUUCGUCGUCCUCCUGCGGAACCGGCUUGGGAACAAUGUCUUCCUGAUCUGAAAUGAUUAAAUAAGGAAUGAGCUACACUAGCCUAGUAAGGACAUCAUGAUAUCUCACC
Molecule: long non-coding RNA, 229 nt
Filed under: Carica papaya (papaya)
Lineage: Eukaryota; Viridiplantae; Streptophyta; Magnoliopsida; Brassicales; Caricaceae
Description: long non-coding RNA (CPAP_LNC008009)
Source: RNAcentral